AACGAACGCUGGCGGCAGGCUUAACACAUGCAAGUCGAACGCGUGCAGCAAUGCACGAGUGGCGCACGGGUGAGUAACGAGAGGAUAUCUGCCUUUUGGUUCGGAAUAACCCCGGGAAACGGGGGCUAAUACCGGAUGGUUCCUACGGGAGAAAGAUUUAUCGCGAAAAGAUGAGUCCGCGUCCGGUUAGCUAGUUGGUGAGGUAAUGGCUCACCAAGGCGACGAUCGGUAGCUGGUCUGAGAGGACGAUCAGCCACACUGGGACUGAGACACGGCCCAGACUCCUACGGGAGGCAGCAGUGGGGAAUAUUGGACAAUGGGGGCAACCCUGAUCCAGCCAGGCCGCGUGAGUGAUGAAGGCCUUCGGGUUGUAAAGCUCUUUUGGCGGGGACGAUGAUGACGGUACCCGCAGAAUAAGCCCCGGCUAACUUCGUG
This 435-nucleotide ribosomal RNA is filed under the name uncultured bacterium. Its description in RNAcentral is "partial 16S ribosomal RNA". It matches the Rfam family "Bacterial small subunit ribosomal RNA", at positions 29 to 507 of the family's 1533-position model. The record is from RNAcentral.